CAAGAUUCAGCAGAGGAUAUGAAAGAUCAAAUGCUAGAAUCGUAGAAGGACAUGAUGAAUCAGCUAACUCAGUUAUUACUAGGAGGGCCAGAAAAAGGGAAGAGUCCCAUGGUCAAUACUGAGGAUAAUAGUGAGAUCCUUGGUUACCUUCCAAGUUUCACUCCAACAAAUACCCCAAUACCACCACAAGGGGUGUUUGUUGAUAUCAAACCCCAAUAUCAGACUAGUACUUUAGCACCGAUAAAUAUCCUAAUGGGCUCGUAUUCUAACCCUAAAGACAAUCGGGCAAAUCCUAUAGACCUUGACCUCGGUGAUGCAGCGGAAGCAGG
Molecule: long non-coding RNA, 329 nt
Filed under: Gossypium barbadense (sea-island cotton)
Lineage: Eukaryota; Viridiplantae; Streptophyta; Magnoliopsida; Malvales; Malvaceae
Description: long non-coding RNA (GBAR_LNC008834)
Source: RNAcentral